ACAGGGCACACAGGUGCAGGGCAUUGACUUGGGGGUAUAAAAGGCUGGGCUGAGGGACAAGGAGGCCACACGCUGCAGCCUUCUGGAGGGGAAUGGUGUUCGUGUGUGUGGGCAGGUGCCUGAAGCCUUCUGAAGAGGUUAAUUUUGACCUCUGGAACUCGGAGAAAUAAAGCACAAAAUAAUGUGUCAGAUAAAAGAAACUAUUGCAACGUAGGCUGAGAAGCCAAAGCUGCUCAGGGCAAAGGUGGCAGGGAAGAAGGCACAGUACAUAAUUUCUGGUGGUGAUAUUCAUGGCAUCUCACAGACUGCUUGAUUCACCCUUGCAACCUUGUCUGCAGACAGUGCCACAGGCUUAACUCACCUGCCAAGAAGUGUGAGCGUUCCUUGGAGUCUGUAAAAUGCAUCUGUGUGCAGCUUUGAUAGCUUUUACAAGGCACAAAAUUACUGUUCAGAGCAGCUCCCUUCAGCUACUUUUAAGUCAAGUGAAGUAAGAGUAAAUAUUUCUCAGCAGGUUGGAAUUCCAAGUGCCACUUCUCUUUCUGUCUUUGGAGUCUCUAUUUUUGUAUGCAUAUAUUUUGUGCAGGUUCAAGCUGAGACGUUUAGGGGUCAAGGCAAAAGAAGUCUGGAAAAAUCACAAAACAUUCUUGAUAAAUAUUCACCAAUAUGGUAAAUUCCAUGAAAGUAUGGGUUGUUUUUUUUAAAGAAAUAUGUAUACAUGAAGUGCUAAAUCCAUACAGACAACUUUUUGUGUGAUGAUAAAAGGAGAUAAAUUUACAUUUACCUUGAGAUUUUGUUGGUACUUCUAGUAUGUGAAAUUUCAAUUAAAUAUAGAAAAGUAGUGAUGGCUAUGUUGAUGAAUAUGGGUUUUUUCUGAGAGGGAAAUUAAAUGCUGAU
Long non-coding RNA from Passer domesticus (house sparrow), 894 nucleotides. RefSeq lists it as uncharacterized. The transcript has 3 exons. The record is from RefSeq and is a predicted model, not a curated record. NCBI's taxonomy places the organism in Eukaryota, Metazoa, Chordata, Aves, Passeriformes, Passeridae.